Long non-coding RNA from Archocentrus centrarchus (flier cichlid), 273 nucleotides. RefSeq lists it as uncharacterized. Lineage: Eukaryota; Metazoa; Chordata; Actinopteri; Cichliformes; Cichlidae. The record is from RefSeq and is a predicted model, not a curated record. The transcript is spliced from 3 exons.
UGACUGCAGAGAAAUGCGCUCAGCACAUCACCGUUCGGGGGUUGGUGCGCGUGCGCUGCGUGCAGGAGUUGGACCGGGUGCUCCAUUUCAUGACCAGGAAGGGCCUCAUCAACACCGGCGUGCUGGUGACCAAACAGCCUCUGCUCCCAGAAAGAUUCUGCUCUAAAAACGUUAUUAUCAUCGGUGCCGGGGCUUCGGGACUGGCUGCUGCGCGCCAGCUGCAAAACUUUGGCGCUCAGGUGGUGGUGCUCGAGGCAAGAGACAGAAUAGGUG